UCCUAGCCCCGAUAGUAGCGACAUCCUUUUGUUUUUUUCUUUAAAAAACAAAAGAUAUAGCGGAUAGCGGGAUUAGCU
This 78-nucleotide small RNA is filed under the name Flavobacterium branchiophilum. Its description in RNAcentral is "Flavo-1 RNA". It matches the Rfam family "Flavo-1 RNA". Lineage: Bacteria; Pseudomonadati; Bacteroidota; Flavobacteriia; Flavobacteriales; Flavobacteriaceae. The record is from RNAcentral.